CCUCUACCUGUACACAGGACAGCACAACACAGAAAAACACGGACAAACAUCCAUGGCUUGAGUGGGAUUCGAACCCACGGUCCCAGCGACCAAGCGGCACAUGGCCCACACCUCAGACCGCGCGGCCACUGCGGACCCCUGGUUGCAUAUUAUCUGCUAGCUUUUAAGCCCAACGUUUCUGAGUCUGUCUAUAUGGUGAUGGAGGCAGAGAAGUUAGAAACUUUUUAAUAUGAAUGAAAUUAAUAUCACAACAGGUCUGAACGAUAAGAAAUCGGACGACGGGAGCGGAAGUUUUUUGGGAAGAGGAGAAUGUAUUUCGAAAUAUUUACCUUAAUCAGAAUUCUUAUAGUUCUAUAACAGUGUGUGUGUGUGAAAGUUUUAUGAUUUAUGGACACAUAAAAUAGCAUUUUUUCUGAGGAUCGAUACUAUGUCUUACAUUGUGCAGUACAAGUAAUGACUAACAAGUCUGUUUGUCACUGGUACAUUUAGACUUUGUAUUUGAGGUUUUCAGAGUAAUUUAAGUAUAGACGUUCUUCUUAUCACCUUGUGAUCUUUAGGCUGUAUACUAAUGUUUUAGAACAACAUACUGCCCCCAUCUUCAGGGCUAAAGUGAGGUGGGUUAGGAAGUGGAUAGUUUAUCUACGGUUAGGGAUUGGCCAGUCUGAGGCAUGGAAUGAGGAUGGGAGAUGGAGUUAUGUCUGGGAGAAGGAAGCAGUGCACUCCUCCAAAACUUAGGUAUAGAGCCACAAGAUCACUAUCUAUACAUUCAGUUAUGUUUCUUUACAAUACACAAAUUACUGUAAAGACCUCAUCCACAUCUAACAUUUGCAGUGGAUAAUUAUGCACGAUAGGAAACAAAAUAAAGUUGCUACAUGUCACGUCUUCUGAGGUCCUGCGUUUGUAACACAGAUGUUCCUCCACAUUUAUGAUGGAUGAAGCAACCAACACCUAAAGCUAGUUUCUUUUCCUUUUCUCACCACUUGCACCGUUAACCAGCUUAUGAAAUGGGAAGGAGAAGAAAAGCAAUAAUGUUUAGCACAAAUUAUUUAUCUGCUAAAACAAAAUGAAUAAUCAAACAAAAAAGAAGCGGUAAUCUGAACAACAUUAUUGUUCUAGUUAUAUUGUAAAUAAAUAUGGCCUUUACAAAAUA
Zootermopsis nevadensis is the source of this 1150-nucleotide long non-coding RNA. RefSeq lists it as uncharacterized. The record is from RefSeq and is a predicted model, not a curated record. NCBI's taxonomy places the organism in Eukaryota, Metazoa, Arthropoda, Insecta, Blattodea, Termopsidae.